Molecule: ribosomal RNA, 700 nt
Filed under: Pseudoperonospora cubensis
Lineage: Eukaryota; Oomycota; Peronosporomycetes; Peronosporales; Peronosporaceae
Description: LSU rRNA
Rfam family: Eukaryotic large subunit ribosomal RNA
Source: RNAcentral
CGAGGAGGUAGGGCUUACGCUCGCGUUUGUCUGUUAUAUCUUGGUGGACGAGUCGUCGCGGUUGGGACUGAGGUGCCUACAACGUGCUUUUGAGUGAGUUUGUGUCUCCGUGUGCGCCGUGUGCGGAUAGCUUGCUAUGUAUGUGCGGUUGUGUGUGGAUUGAUGCGGGCUUUAACUUGUCGCCGUUCGGGACGUUGGCGAAAUGGAGCGAUCCGACCCGUCUUGAAACACGGACCAAGGAGUCUAACAUGUGUGCAAGUGUUAGGGUGUGGAAACCCCAGCGCGAAAUGAAAGUGAAGGGCAGCGCAAGUUGUCUGAGGUAGGAAACGUUGCGGACUUCGGUCUGCGGCGUGGCACUAUCGACCGAUCAUGAACCUUCGUGGUGAAAGAUUUGAGUUUGAGCACAUAUGUUGGUACCCGAAAGAUGGUGAACUAUGCCUGAGUAGGGUGAAGCCAGGGGAAACUCUGGUGGAAGCUCGUAGCGAUUCUGACGUGCAAAUCGAUCGUCAAACUUGGGUAUAGGGGCGAAAGACUAAUCGAACCAUCUAGUAGCUGGUUCCCUCCGAAAUUUCCCUCAGGAUAGCAGCAACUUAUUUACGAUAGUUUUAUGAGGUAAAGCGAAUGAUUAGAGGAUUCGGGGAAGAAACUUCCUCGACCUAUUCUCAAACUUUAAAUCUGUAAGACCUGCAGGUUUCUUAAU